Molecule: ribosomal RNA, 253 nt
Filed under: uncultured prokaryote
Description: partial 16S ribosomal RNA
Rfam family: Bacterial small subunit ribosomal RNA
Source: RNAcentral
UACGAAGGGGGCUAGCGUUGCUCGGAAUCACUGGGCGUAAAGCGCACGUAGGCGGUCUUUUAAGUCAGGGGUGAAAUCCUGGAGCUCAACUCCAGAACUGCCCUUGAUACUGAGAGGCUUGAGUUCGGGAGAGGUGAGUGGAACUGCGAGUGUAGAGGUGAAAUGCGUAGAUAUUGGGAGGAACACCAGUGGCGAAGGCGGCUACCUGGACCGGUUCUGACGCUGAUGCGCGAAAGCGUGGGGAGCAAACAGG